RNAcentral lists this ribosomal RNA (497 nucleotides) under uncultured bacterium. RNAcentral's name for it is "partial 16S ribosomal RNA". It matches the Rfam family "Bacterial small subunit ribosomal RNA", at positions 28 to 507 of the family's 1533-position model. The record is from RNAcentral.
GAUGAACGCUGGCGGCGUGCCUAAUACAUGCAAGUCGAGCGAAGGGACGAGGAGCUUGCUGCUCUGUUGUUAGCGGCGGACGGGUAAGUAACACGUGGAUAACCUACCUAUAAGACUGGGAUAACUUCGGGAAACCGGAGCUAAUACCGGAUGAUAUUUUGAACCGCAUGGUUCAAAAGUGAAAGACGGUCUUGCUGUCACUUAUAGAUGGAUCCGCGCUGCAUUAGCUAGUUGGUAAGGUAACGGCUUACCAAGGCAACGAUGCAUAGCCGACCUGAGAGGGGGAUAGGCCACACGGGAACUGAGACACGCUCCAUACUCCUACGGGAGGCAGCAGUAGGGAAUCGUCCGCAGUGGUCGAAAACCUGACGGAGCAGCGCCGCGUGAGUGAUGAAGGUCUUCGGAUCGUAAAACUCUGUUAUUAGUGAUGAACAUAUUUGUAAGUAACUGUGCACAUCUUGACGGUACCUAAUCAGAAAGCCACGGCUAACUACGUG